RNAcentral lists this ribosomal RNA (859 nucleotides) under uncultured bacterium. RNAcentral describes it as "bacterial SSU rRNA". It matches the Rfam family "Bacterial small subunit ribosomal RNA", at positions 26 to 896 of the family's 1533-position model. The record is from RNAcentral.
AGAGUGAACGCUGGCGGCGUGCUUAACACAUGCAAGUCGAACGAGAACGGAUUUAAGCUUGCUUAAAUUGUCAGCUAAGUGGCGCACGGGUGAGUAAUAUAUAGUUAACCUGCCCUAGAGAGGGGGAUAACGUUUGGAAACGGACGCUAAUACCCUAUAUGCCUUUAAUACAUAAGUAUGCAAGGGAAAUAUUUAUGGCUCUAGGAUGGGACUGUACGGUAUCAGUUAGUUGGUGAGGUAAUGGCUCACCAAGACAAUGACACCUAACUGGUUUGAGAGGAUGAUCAGUCACACUGGAACUGAGACACGGUCCAGACUCCUACGGGAGGCAGCAGUGGGGAAUAUUGCACAAUGGACGAAAGUCUGAUGCAGCAACGCCGCGUGGAGGAUGACACAUUUCGGUGCGUAAACUCCUUUUAUAUAGGAAGAUAAUGACGGUACUAUAUGAAUAAGCACCGGCUAACUCCGUGCCAGCAGCCGCGGUAAUACGGAGGGUGCAAGCGUUACUCGGAAUCACUGGGCGUAAAGAGCGUGUAGGCGGGUUAAUAAGUUGGAAGUGAAAUCCUAUGGCUCAACCAUAGAACUGCUUUCAAAACUGUUAACCUAGAGUAUGGGAGAGGUAGAUGGAAUUUCUGGUGUAGGGGUAAAAUCCGUAGAGAUCAGAAGGAAUACCGAUUGCGAAGGCGAUCUACUGGAACAUAACUGACGCUGAGACGCGAAAGCGUGGGGAGCAAACAGGAUUAGAUACCCUGGUAGUCCACGCCCUAAACGAUGCACACUAGUUGUUGCUAUGCUAGACAUAGCAGUAAUGCAGUUAACACAUUAAGUGUGCCGCCUGGGGAGUACGGUCGCAAGAUUA